ACUCCUACGGGAGGCAGCAGUGGGGAAUAUUGCACAAUGGGCGCAAGCCUGAUGCAGCCAUGCCGCGUGUAUGAAGAAGGCCUUCGGGUUGUAAAGUACUUUCAGCAGUGAGGAAGGUGGAGUCGUUAAUAGCGGCCUCAUUUGACGUUAGCUGCAGAAGAAGCACCGGCUAACUCCGUGCCAGCAGCCGCGGUAAUACGGAGGGUGCGAGCGUUAAUCGGAAUUACUGGGCGUAAAGCGCAUGCAGGCGGCCUGUUAAGUCAGAUGUGAAAGCCCGGGGCUUAACCUCGGAAUUGCAUUUGAAACUGGCAGGCUAGAGUCUUGUAGAGGGGGGUAGAAUUUCAGGUGUAGCGGUGAAAUGCGUAGAGAUCUGAAGGAAUACCAGUGGCGAAGGCGGCCCCCUGGACAAAGACUGACGCUCAGAUGCGAAAGCGUGGGGAGCAAACAGGAUUAGAUACCCUGGUAGGAUAGCG
RNAcentral lists this ribosomal RNA (473 nucleotides) under uncultured bacterium. RNAcentral's name for it is "bacterial SSU rRNA". It matches the Rfam family "Bacterial small subunit ribosomal RNA", at positions 335 to 799 of the family's 1533-position model. The record is from RNAcentral.